CAGGGAAUAUUGCGCAAUGGGUGAAAGCCUGACGCAGCAACGCCGCGUGGGGGAUGACGGCUUUCGAGUUGUAAACCCCUUUUCUUAGGGAAGAUAAUGACGGUACCUGAGGAAUAAGUCUCGGCUAACUACGUGCCAGCAGCCGCGGUAAGACGUAGGAGGCGAGCGUUAUCCGGAUUUACUGGGCGUAAAGGGCGUGUAGGCGGUUCUCCAAGUCUCUGGUGAAAUCUCCCGGCUUAACUGGGAGGCUGCCAGAGAAACUAGGGAACUUGAGGACAGAAUAGGGGAGUGGAAUUCCCGGUGUAGUGGUGAUAUGCGUAGAGAUCGGGAGGAACACCAGUGGCGAAAGCGGCUCCCUGGUCUGCACCUGACGCUGAGGCGCGAAAGCGUGGGGAGCAAACAGG
RNAcentral lists this ribosomal RNA (404 nucleotides) under uncultured bacterium. RNAcentral's name for it is "bacterial SSU rRNA". It matches the Rfam family "Bacterial small subunit ribosomal RNA", at positions 355 to 776 of the family's 1533-position model. The record is from RNAcentral.